Molecule: long non-coding RNA, 948 nt
Organism: Cyprinodon variegatus (sheepshead minnow)
Lineage: Eukaryota; Metazoa; Chordata; Actinopteri; Cyprinodontiformes; Cyprinodontidae
Exons: 3
Source: RefSeq, a predicted model, not a curated record
GCUGAGGGUUUUUGUCACGGCUUGGUAAAUGUAUCAUCUUAAGAGGCUUUUUCCAACACCUACACACACCAUCUCUCUCUCUCUUUCUCUCUCUCUCUCUCUAUCAAACACACUCUUACACACAGACACUCUCUCUGCAGCCUCUGCACGGACACACCCGCUCCCUUCAAACAGAUUUGAAUAUUGAUUUAGAUUUAUAAACACAGGCAGAGCGUGGCUUUUUUUUUUUUCUACUCAUUUGUCAUUUGCCACUCUCUCUCACUCUCUCUCGAUUUCUUUCUGUAUCUGCGUGGCUCUUGUGAAAAGGGUCAGAGUCAAAGGUGUCGUGACAGCUAUUCCGAUCGGAGGAGGAGCAUGCAUGGAUCCAGAAGUUGGAUUUGGAACUGAGACAGAGAAAAGUUUUGCUAUAGCUGAAAACACAUACAGGAGUUUGCCAACAAACAAGUGGAAGCAGUGAACACAGUCGACGUGCAAUUCUCCAGCCUCCAGCAAGAGCCAAGGUCAUGACUGGCUGACAGAGGCAAAUUAGCAGAAGUUAACAUUAUGAGAACCGUCUAAAAAAACCUUUGCAUGAAAAUAUUCAUUCAAUUUUCAACUUUAACAUACUCAAACAUUUUCUGUAAUUGCUUGUGAGUGAAGAGCCACAUUAAUUGACUGUGACUGUUCUUAUAAUUAAACUUCAAUGUGUAAAAGCAUUGUUGCCACUAGUGUUAAAGGUUUACUCUUCCUGUGUGCUCUGAGGAGUCUGCAUGGCGUGCUAAAACCUGCCCUGCAGACCGGACCUUCCCAGUCUUCAAAGCAGGGGAACUCAAUGUGAGGGGGAUUUGUUCAGGCUUAUUUGGUAACCUAGGAUUUGAAUUGGAUUCUUGGAGGCAUUCACGACACAUUUGAAAUAUGUUACAUUGUGCGAUUUUGUGUGUAAUCCCCAUAAUAAAUUUUUAGAAAUGG